GCCGAAGUGGCGGAACUGGCAGACGCGCCGGACUCAAAAUCCGGUGCCCGCAAGGGCGUGUGGGUUCGAUUCCCACCUUCGGCA
Molecule: transfer RNA, 84 nt
Filed under: Thermoleophilia bacterium
Lineage: Bacteria; Bacillati; Actinomycetota; Thermoleophilia
Description: tRNA-Leu
Rfam family: tRNA
About the family: Transfer RNA (tRNA) molecules are approximately 80 nucleotides in length. Their secondary structure includes four short double-helical elements and three loops (D, anti-codon, and T loops). Further hydrogen bonds mediate the characteristic L-shaped molecular structure. tRNAs have two regions of fundamental functional importance: the anti-codon, which is responsible for specific mRNA codon recognition, and the 3' end, to which the tRNAs corresponding amino acid is attached (by aminoacyl-tRNA synthetases). tRNAs cope with the degeneracy of the genetic code in two manners: having more than one tRNA (with a specific anti-codon) for a particular amino acid; and 'wobble' base-pairing, i.e. permitting non-standard base-pairing at the 3rd anti-codon position.
Source: RNAcentral